UAGGAAUUUUGCGCAAUGGGGGAAACCCUGACGCAGCAACGCCGCGUGGGUGAGGAAGGCCUUCGGGUUGUAAAGCCCUUUUGACAGGAAAGAAAAAAAUGACGGUACCUGUAGAAAAAGCACCGGCUAACUCUGUGCCAGCAGCCGCGGUAAUACAGAGGGUGCAAGCGUUAUUCGGAAUUAUUGGGCGUAAAGCGCGCGUAGGCGGUUUGGUAAGUCUGGUGUGAAAGCCCUCGACUCAAUCGAGGAAGUGCAUUGGAUACUGCCGGACUGGAGUGCAGGAGAGGAGAGCGGAAUUCCUGGUGUAGAGGUGAAAUUCGUAGAUAUCAGGAGGAACAACGGUGGCGAAGGCGGCUCUCUGGACUGUAACUGACGCUGAGGCGCGAAAGCGUGGGUAGCAAAC
RNAcentral lists this ribosomal RNA (403 nucleotides) under uncultured bacterium. RNAcentral describes it as "bacterial SSU rRNA". It matches the Rfam family "Bacterial small subunit ribosomal RNA", at positions 356 to 773 of the family's 1533-position model. The record is from RNAcentral.